UAGACCUGAGGUCAGGCAAGACCACCCGCUGAACUUAAGCAUAUCAAUAAGCGGAGGAAAAGAAACUAACCAGGAUUCCCC
RNAcentral lists this ribosomal RNA (81 nucleotides) under Asterochloris sp. DrostorpA2. RNAcentral describes it as "partial 26S ribosomal RNA". It matches the Rfam family "Eukaryotic large subunit ribosomal RNA", at positions 1 to 80 of the family's 3401-position model. RNAcentral also lists the same sequence under 7 other names. The record is from RNAcentral. Lineage: Eukaryota; Viridiplantae; Chlorophyta; Trebouxiophyceae; Trebouxiales; Trebouxiaceae.